RNAcentral lists this ribosomal RNA (235 nucleotides) under uncultured bacterium. Its description in RNAcentral is "partial 16S ribosomal RNA". It matches the Rfam family "Bacterial small subunit ribosomal RNA", at positions 118 to 351 of the family's 1533-position model. The record is from RNAcentral.
UGAGUAACCUGCCCUUAACUCUGGGAUAAGCCUGGGAAACUGGGUCUAAUACCGGAUAUGACUCCUCAUCGCAUGGUGGGGGGUGGAAAGCUUUUUUGUGGUUUUGGAUGGACUCGCGGCCUAUCAGCUAGUUGGUGUGGGUAACGGCCCACCAAGGCGACGACGGGUAGCCGGCCUGAGAGGGUGACCGGCCACACUGGGACUGAGACACGGCCCAGACUCCUACGGGAGGCAG